Molecule: ribosomal RNA, 253 nt
Filed under: uncultured bacterium
Lineage: Bacteria
Description: partial 16S ribosomal RNA
Rfam family: Bacterial small subunit ribosomal RNA
Source: RNAcentral
UACGAAGGGGGCUAGCGUUGCUCGGAAUCACUGGGCGUAAAGCGCACGUAGGCGGAUUGCUAAGUCAGGGGUGAAAUCCUGGAGCUCAACUCCAGAACUGCCUUUGAUACUGGCGAUCUCGAGUCCGGGAGAGGUGAGUGGAACUGCGAGUGUAGAGGUGAAAUUCGUAGAUAUUCGCAAGAACACCAGUGGCGAAGGCGGCUCACUGGAUCGGUACUGACGCUGAGGUGCGAAAGCGUGGGGAGCAAACAGG